AGCCCUGAUGGCUCAGCCAGGAACAGUACCUGACUCGUAAUCAGGGGGUCGGGGGUUCAAAUCCCCCUCGGGGCUU
This 76-nucleotide transfer RNA is filed under the name Methanosphaera cuniculi. RNAcentral describes it as "tRNA-Thr". It matches the Rfam family "tRNA". From Rfam's summary of the family: Transfer RNA (tRNA) molecules are approximately 80 nucleotides in length. Their secondary structure includes four short double-helical elements and three loops (D, anti-codon, and T loops). Further hydrogen bonds mediate the characteristic L-shaped molecular structure. tRNAs have two regions of fundamental functional importance: the anti-codon, which is responsible for specific mRNA codon recognition, and the 3' end, to which the tRNAs corresponding amino acid is attached (by aminoacyl-tRNA synthetases). tRNAs cope with the degeneracy of the genetic code in two manners: having more than one tRNA (with a specific anti-codon) for a particular amino acid; and 'wobble' base-pairing, i.e. permitting non-standard base-pairing at the 3rd anti-codon position. The record is from RNAcentral. Lineage: Archaea; Methanobacteriati; Methanobacteriota; Methanobacteria; Methanobacteriales; Methanobacteriaceae.